This 211-nucleotide ribosomal RNA is filed under the name Klebsiella pneumoniae. RNAcentral describes it as "partial 23S ribosomal RNA". It matches the Rfam family "Bacterial large subunit ribosomal RNA", at positions 1263 to 1472 of the family's 2925-position model. The record is from RNAcentral. Lineage: Bacteria; Pseudomonadati; Pseudomonadota; Gammaproteobacteria; Enterobacterales; Enterobacteriaceae.
GACAGGACUGGUGGAGUGCUUAGAAGUGAGAAUGCCGGUAUGAGUAGCGAAAGACGGGUGAGAAUCCCGUCCACCGAAUGCCUAAGGUUUCCUGAGGAAGGCUCGUCCGCUCAGGGUUAGUCAGGACCUAAGCCGAGGCCGACAGGCGUAGGCGAUGGACAACAGGUUGAUAUUCCUGUACCACCUCUUUAUCGUUUGAGCAAUGGAGGGA